GGAUUGUGGCUUAGUGGUAGAGUGCUUGCCUAGCAUGUACAAGGCACUGGGUUCAAUCCUCAGCACCA
RNAcentral lists this transfer RNA (68 nucleotides) under Marmota monax (woodchuck). RNAcentral's name for it is "tRNA.Ala". The record is from RNAcentral. Lineage: Eukaryota; Metazoa; Chordata; Mammalia; Rodentia; Sciuridae.